GAUGAACGCUGGCGGCGUGCCUAAUACAUGCAAGUCGAGCGAACGGACGAGAAGCUUGCUUCUCUGAUGUUAGCGGCGGACGGGUGAGUAACAUGUGGAUAACCUACCUAUAAGACUGGGAUAACUUCGGGAAACCGGAGCUAAUACCGGAUAAUAUUUUGAACCGCAUGGUUCAAAAGUGAAAUACGGUCUUGCUGUCACUUAUAGAUGGAUCCGCGCUGCAUUAGCUAGUUGGUAAGGUAACGGCAUACCAGGGCAACGAUGCAUAGCCGACCGGAGGGGGUGGUAGGCCACACUGGAGCUGAGACAGGGUCAUGGCGCCUGCGGGAGGCAGCAGUAGGGAAUCUUCCGCAAUGGGCGGAAGCCUGACAGAACAACGCCGCGUGAGUUGUGGAAGUCUUCGGAUCGUAAAACUCUGUUAUUAGGGAAGAACAUAUGUGUAAGGAACUGUGCACAUCUUGACGGUACCUGAUCAAGAAGCCACGGCUAACUACGUG
Molecule: ribosomal RNA, 497 nt
Filed under: uncultured bacterium
Lineage: Bacteria
Description: partial 16S ribosomal RNA
Rfam family: Bacterial small subunit ribosomal RNA
Source: RNAcentral